GAUGAAGAACGUAGCAAAAUGCGAUACUUGGUGUGAAUUGCAGAAUCCCGUGAACCAUCGAGUUUUUGAACGCAAGUUGCGCCCGAAGCCUUUUGGCCGAGGGCACGUCUGCCUGGGUGUCACGCAUCGCGUCGCCCCCCACAAUUCUCCGUAAAGGGAACGUGUGUUUUGGGGGCGGAUAUUGGUCUCCCGUGCUCAUGGCGUGGUUGGCCGAAAUAGGAGUCCUUUCGAUGGACGCACGAACUAGUGGUGGUCGUAAAAACCCUCGUCUUUUGUUUCGUGCUGUUGCUCGCAAGGUAAACUCUUUAAAAACCCCAAUGUGUCGUCUCUUGACGACGCUUCGACCGCGACCCCAGGUCAGGCGGGACUACCCGCUGAGUUUAAGCAUAUCAAUAAGCGGAGGA
This 404-nucleotide unclassified non-coding RNA is filed under the name soil metagenome. RNAcentral's name for it is "partial contains 5.8S ribosomal RNA, internal transcribed spacer 2, and large subunit ribosomal RNA". The stretch from base 1 to 122 matches the Rfam family "5.8S ribosomal RNA", at positions 35 to 154 of the family's 154-position model. The record is from RNAcentral.